This 497-nucleotide ribosomal RNA is filed under the name uncultured bacterium. Its description in RNAcentral is "partial 16S ribosomal RNA". It matches the Rfam family "Bacterial small subunit ribosomal RNA", at positions 28 to 507 of the family's 1533-position model. The record is from RNAcentral.
GAUGAACGCUGGCGGCGUGCCUAAUACAUGCAAGUCGAGCGGACAGACGAGGAUCUUGCUCCUCUGACGUUAGCGGCGGACGUGUGAGUAACACGUGGAUAACCUACCUAUAAGACUGGGAUAACUUCGGGAAACCGGAGCUAAUACCGGAUAAUAUAUUGAACCGCAUGGUUCAAUAGUGAAAGACGGUUUUGCUGUCACUUAUAGAUGGAUCCGCGCCGCAUUAGCUAGUUGGUAAGGUAACGGCUUACCAAGGCAACGAUGCGUAGCCGACCUGAGAGGGGGGUAGGCCACACUGGAACUGAGACAGGGUCCAGACUCCUAAGGGAGGCAGCAGUAGGGAAUCUUCCGCAGUGGGCGAAAGCAUGACGGAGCAACGCCGCGUGAGUGAUGAAGGUCUUGGGAUCGUAAAACUCUGUUAUUAGGGAAGAACAAAUGUGUAAGUAACUAUGCACGUCUUGACGGUACCUAAUCAGAAAGCCACGGCUAACUACGUG